This is a non-coding RNA of Lactuca sativa (garden lettuce), 2048 nucleotides long. Lineage: Eukaryota; Viridiplantae; Streptophyta; Magnoliopsida; Asterales; Asteraceae. The record is from RefSeq and is a predicted model, not a curated record.
UAUAUACAUACUAAUUCUAAAGUGACACUUGAACAGUUCUUAUCUAUGAUUGGCUGGAUUUUUUGUUUUGGUUUUUUUUUUUUUUUUAAUCUGUAUUUUUCCAUCAUAAUGGUUCGGUUCCGUUACUGUUCAUUCCCCAUACGUGUUCUUUUAUCCGUUCUUCUCCUUCUACGUGUACUGCCCUCCCAGUUCUUCUCCACUGCCUCCUUGCUUUACUGUUUUACAUCGUCUGCACAACUCAAAAUCGAUGGCUGCUUCGCACACCUAUUUUCUAUCUCUCCCACUGUUCCUCACCGACUCUUUAAAUCAAAGUUUGAGGGCUCCCAUCUGUUACUGAUCGGGAAAGAAAAAUGGAGGUGGGUUCCUUCAAUCCUUGACUACUCAAAAAGAAACACGAAGGAAGCAAGUGGUGAUGGCGUUUUUCGAUGGUGUUGGUCCGAGGAAGGUGGCAAGGUGGCGUUUGUCGAUGGUGUUUGCCACUCAUCUGGGUCCCUCUUUUCUAUCUUUGAUUCCAUUUUUUUUCACAACUCUCGGUAGGAGUCGAUGGUACUAGAAUUUUCAAUUAUCAGCCCUAGAUCUUCAAGAAUGUUGAUUCCACCGUCGCACCUUACCACCAUGGUACCCUAAUUUCAUUAUUUCACAAUGGGAAAUUCGAAUCGUUUAUCAAAAUUCUUCUGACAAAUACAGGCAAGUUAAUUAAUUAUAUUUGCUUCACUAUUUCUUUUUAUUUGGGUAUAUCGACUCUUUUCCUGUUGAUUAACAGAGCAAAGCACGAUGAUGGAAUCAUUUUGCAUCUUCAAUUACAGCAGCAAGGGUGGUGCCCUAAGCUUCUGCAGUUCUGAUUGAGGGUCUAUGCAAAAUCUUAUCUACCGAGAGACAGAGAGAAAGAAAAGGAGGAGAAAGAAAUGGAAGAACUCUUUAAGUUUUAUUAUAUUAAGGCCAAAUUCUCAUACUUUCUCUCUCUAUACGCUACAAUAUUACUUCCAAACAUACACAGAAUAAUUAAAAUUUUGGAAAAAUCUUAACAGUUCUUGAUGCUGGCCUCAUCGUCAUCCUUCAAGAGACUCAAUUCUCUGGAGUGCAACAUCAUCUCUUGGGUACAAUCAGCUUAUCAAUGGCAUAACAUCUUGAAAUCACUUGCCAUUCGUUGUUGGAGCCACAAAUUACUAUAUUCUGCAAGUAAUGAUUCAAUAGUGUUGAGAUCUUGGAGACAAAGCAAAUGGAAGAAAGUAAAAAAAAUUUGGAUACAUACAAUUUUUGAGGAGCAAUGGAUUCAAUAUUCAGAUAAGUUUAUUUCACUGUAAACAAUAUUUUCAGCUUUUGUUGUUUUGAAAAUUUCAGAUAUGGUUAGCUGCAUAGCUGUACCCUGUUCCUUACCCCCUCCACUAUUUUCUCCAAAUUUUCCUCCAAAUUCAAAUUCAAUGACCUCAACACUUCCAAUAUUCUCACUAACACAAGAAAAUCAUCCAAAAUAAGCUGCUCUGGCGCCGAAAAUUCUCAAAAUCAACAGCAAUAGUUCAAUCUAUCUGUUCUUCAGUUGGAUAGAUUUGAAGCAUCAAACAAGAUGAAGGUGACGACCAAAAAUGUCACUCUGCGGUUGACUUCUGGCGUUGAGUGGUUGCCAUUUCUGAGGGAAACAAAAUUAAGUUGUUUCCAGUCUUAAAUCAUCUUUUGAUUUGCAUUGAAGGCAUGUUAAAAGUUCAUUGCUUAUUGGAAAUGAUAGAGGAUUAUUGCAAGAUAGGCUUGAAUACAGGACGAUGAGGUGGUGGAAUAUUAUCUAUAUCAGGGAGAUUUCAUCCUGUUUUAGCGUCAAUGGAUUACUAAAAUCGGCGAGGACGACGAUUGAGUCGGCGGUUCUGUUCAGUUAGCACCGUCAUCAACGACCAACCGGUUCCAUCAUCUUCUACACCUAUACAUGUUUUGUAUCUAUCGUCUGUUUUCUGAAUUCUGUGGAUGUGGUUUUCCAACUUUCCAAUGGUUGUUCCUAUUGAAAUACAAAUUACACACAUACACUAGAUGGAAUAAAAAACCCCUUUUCUGCGAUGUUA